GCUUUUUGUUGUUUAAAGGUAGUUUCUGCUCGGUGUUUAUUAACAGCCGCGGUACUUUGACCGUGCAAAGGUAGCAUAAUCAUUUGCCUCGUGAUUGGGGGCUAGAAUGAAUGAAUUCAUGAGGGUUUUACUUUAUUAAGAAAAUCAUAAUAAUUUUCUAUCUUAGUGAAGAAGCUAAGAUAAAAAAGGGGACAAGAAGACCCUUUUGAGCUUUACUUUUUUACUUUAUGAAAAAAAAAAGUUUGGUUGGGGCGACCAAGGAUUAUCUUCCUUUAAAAUUGUGAUCCGCUUUUGGCGAUUAAAAGAGCAAGUUACCAAAGGGAUAACAGCGUAAUCUUUUCUGAGAGUUCUUAUUAAAUAAAAGGAUUGCGACCUCGAUGUUGACUUAUAGUUACUACUUAAUGCAGCAGUUAAGUUAGUGGGUCUGUUCGACCUUUAAAACUUU
Molecule: ribosomal RNA, 445 nt
Filed under: Ototyphlonemertes lactea
Lineage: Eukaryota; Metazoa; Nemertea; Enopla; Monostilifera; Ototyphlonemertidae
Description: partial 16S ribosomal RNA
Rfam family: Bacterial large subunit ribosomal RNA
Source: RNAcentral